UGGCGGCCAUAGCGAGUGGGUCCCACCUGAUUCCAUUCCGAACUCAGAAGUGAAAACGCUCUGCGCCAAUGAUAGUGUGGAUCCUCCAUGCGAAAGUAGGGCGCCGUC
This 108-nucleotide ribosomal RNA is filed under the name Coxiella endosymbiont of Amblyomma nuttalli. Lineage: Bacteria; Pseudomonadati; Pseudomonadota; Gammaproteobacteria; Legionellales; Coxiellaceae. The record is from RNAcentral.